Molecule: long non-coding RNA, 8223 nt
Filed under: Homo sapiens (human)
Lineage: Eukaryota; Metazoa; Chordata; Mammalia; Primates; Hominidae
Description: HSALNT0015844
Source: RNAcentral
GCUGAGCUGGGUUGGGAAGAAAGUCCCGGAAGUAGCAUCAUUUAAUCGACAUUGAUGUGAAUUUCCAGAAAGGCCGACAUAUUCAUACUCAAAUGUAAACAGAUAAAAUCCAGUUUGAAUGUAUUUUAUUUAUUCCCAUGAUUACUAUUCCUAUUAUUAAGCUCUUAAUCUUUACUAGGCACCUUUCUAAGUGUUUUACUUGCAUCUUAUUUAAUCCUCACAACUCCAUGAGAGGUUAAGCAAUGGGCACUGAAUCACACAAGCAGAAAGUGGUGGAGGCAGGACUUGAACCCAGAUCUGCAUGACUUCAAAGCCCAGAACACGGCUUCCCUCUUCCCAACAUUCAGGACAGAACUGACUGUCAAAGUAGGCAAAAUUUAUUUAUGUCAGAAUCCAAUGGAAAAAAAUAGUCUCUCGUUUUAGGGGUAUCCCUGAUGUAUUCCAGCUUCCAAGUACUGAUUCCCUCCUAAAAGGCAAUUCAGGUCAGACAUACAGCACAACAGCUCACCUGACAGAACCUGGAAUGCAGAAGUGGAAGGAUUAGCAAGAAUGGACCAAAUGUUUGAUUAAUUUGAAUCAGUCAAACUAAAAUUGGUACAUUGUACAUGCCUACUCUGGACACUGCUUAGUGGGGGAGAUAAUGUUCGAGAUACAGAGAUGGCUAAGAAAUAGUCCAUAUCCUCUGAGAACAUAAAAGAGUAGAGGGGGAGACAAACAUUUACAAAAGUAUCUCUGAGAUGAGGAAAAAUAUGGUUUAAAAAAAGGCAAAAAUACUAAGAGUGGGAGUUGGAAGAGGUAGACCUAAAUGACUCCUUGGAAGAUUUGAAAGGGUUUUCUGGCCAGGUGUGGUGGUUCAAGCCUAUAAUCCCAGUACUUUUGAAGGCUGAGGAGGGAGGAUCGCUUGGGCCCAGGAGUUCGAGGUUGCAAUGAGCUAUGAUUGCGCCAGUGCAUUCCAGCCUUGGUGACCGAGUGAGACCCUGUCUCAAAAUUUAAUUAAUUAAUUAUUAUUAUUAUUAUUUGAGGUGGAGUUUCGCUCUUGUUGUCCAGGACGGAGUGCAGUGGUGCGAUCUUGGCUCACCGCAACCUCUGCCUCCCGGGUUCAAGCAAUUCUCCUGCCUCAGCCUCCCGAGUAGCUGGGAUUACAGGCAUGUGCCACCACACAUGGCUAAUUUUCUAUUUUUAGUAGAGAUGGAGUUUCUCCAUGUUGGUCAGGCUGGUCUCGAACUCCCAACCUCAGGUGAUCCAUCCACCUUGGCUUCCCAAAGUGCUGGGAUUACAGGUGUGAGCCACCGCGCCCGGCAAUUAAUUUUUAAAAAGAAAGGGUUUUCUGUGGAGGUGGCAGCUGAACUGGACUUUAAGUAUUGAUAGGAUUUCAACAGACACAUAUGAGAAGGGGGGUUAGAUAGGGAAGAAAGGGAAUUACAGAGAGAAGCAAUAGCAAGAACAAAGACUUGGGUCAUGGGGGGAAGUGCAGGGCAUGCUGAAAACUUGUGUUCUUGGCUAGAUGGAAUAUAAGGUUCACCAAGGGCAUAGGCAGGAGAUAAGGCUGGCAUUAGAGGGUAGAGAGCCUUGGACACCAGGCUAAAGGGUUAGAACCCCACUCGGCAAUAGGAAUCAUUUAGGAUUUUCACUUGUAAGGAGUAAUGUUUAAAAGUAUGCUUUAUAAUGACAUCUGUCAGUGAUAGUUGAAGAAGGUUUGCUAAUUUCCAGGCAAAAGAACACUGAGGCCAGGUGCAGUGGUCUCAUGCCUGUAAUCCUAACACUUUGGGAGGCCAAGCAGGAGAAUGGUUUAAGGCCAGGAGUUUGAGACCAGCCUGGUCAACAGAGCAAGAUGCUGUCUCUACCAAAAAAAAAAAAAAAAAAAAAAAAAAAAAAAAAAAAAAAAAAGAGAGAGAGAGAGAGAGAAAGGAACAGUGAGGCUGGCCUAAGGAGUUGGUGGUGGGCAGAUAAAGAGAGGGCAGAUGUACUAUACAGUGAACAUGGGGGACCUGGAAACUGGCUGGAUAUGGUACUGAGGAGCAGGGAGAGAUUAUGUGGUGAAACUCCACACAGAGGCGUGGGCACUAACUAAACUUAUUGAAUAUCACCACUUUCUGGUAGUUUCCUUAUCUCUAAAAAUGGACAUAGUAAAUCAGCCUUACACGGUUAUUGUGGAAAGACUGGAUUUGAUUCUGCAUGUAAGGUACCUGGCAAAUAAAGCAGGCACUCAGUAUGUGGCAGCUAUUAUUUUUAUGGGUUUGAGCAUGAUGACUAAAAGUUUGAUGAUGACAUUGACCAAAGUAGGAAACACAGUGGGAGGAGCGGGUUUUUCUCUUUGUCUGUGUGUGGCAGUGGGGAUGGUGGGGGAAACUGGCUAACAAAUUCAGUUUGAGAUCUGUGGAAUUUGAGGAAUCGCAUCCAGGUAGAGCUGUCUAGGAGGCAACUACAUAAUUUGGGUCUGGAAUUCCAUUUGGGCUAUGAAUCAGCAAGAUAAAGGAGAAAACUGAAGCCACAGGAUCAGGUGAGAAAACCCAGAGGGAGGGAAGAGCUAGGAGAGUGAUGGUUGAGACACAUGAACAUGGCCUGCAGGCCUGCGGGAUCCCAGCCCUCACUGAGAGAGGAGAAUCAGGAAAGGGCGAACCAUGCAGCCGGGAGAAGACAGCCUCAGGCGGAAGGGCAGGGACCUGCACCCCAGGCUACCACGAGGUGAAGAAAAGGCUUUUGAUAGGGCUUUAAAGUUGCCUAAGACCCCGAAGACUGCCAUUUCAGGAGUGAGGAGCUGGACCCCAGAAUUCAAGAUGCUGAGAGGUACAUGAGAGUCAAUAGACACUUCUCAGCACUCUAAAGUCUGAUGGGGACUGGGCGUGGUGGCUCACGCCUGUAAUCUCAACACUUUGGGAGGCUGAGGUGGGCAGAUCACCUGAGGUCAGAGUUCGAGACCAGCCUGGCCAACAUGGUGAAACCCCAUCUCUACUAAAAAUACAAAAAAAAUUAGCCGGGCGUGGUGGCGGGCGCCUGUAAUCCCAGCAACUCUGGGGGCUGAGGCAGGAGAAUCACUUGAACCUGGGAGGUAGAGGUUGCAGUGAGCCAAGAUUGUGCCACUGCGCCCCAACCUGGGCAACAGAGCAAGACUUCGUCUCAAAAAAAAAAAAAAAUAAUGGUGAAGGAAGGAGAAAAGAAUAUGGUAGUUUGAGGAUAAUGGAAUUCUUUUUCUUUUUUCUUGUGUAGAAGAGAUUUAAGUAUGUUUUUGGCAGAGGGAAGAAAUUACUACUCUAUUAAUGGGAGGCAGCAAUGGCAUAAUGCAAAGGUUAGGGGAGGAAAGAAGGACAAAGUGCUUUUGAAAGGUCAUUCUCAACAAGGAGGGGGAAAAUAAUCUCUCAGAGACAGGAAUUUAGGAAGAGAGGGAGAUAGAGGAAGAUACUAAAGAGUUACAAAAAAAUUACUUUGGAAGCUUGCGCAGGUUGGCCUAGAAACCUCUAUGAACAAGAGCAGCAACAGUGGGGUUAGAGGAAAGUGGAGAAGAUUGGGAAUUAUCCCUAUGGGAAAUUGGUCCCUCUCUGCCUUUCAAUUAAGUUGUGUGCCCCAGGGGAGUUGUGAGGGUACUUGGAAGGGAAUGAUGAAGGAUUUAGGGAAAAGGUGGAGCUGAGAGUUGGAGGGUCAGAUAUAAUCUAUUACAAUGGCAACAAUUAAAAUGAUAAUAUCCAAUAUUGGCAAGGAUGUUAUCAUAUACUGAGGUAUAAUUUUUCUGGAAGGCCAAUUUGGCAAAAUGUAUUAAAAUCUUUUCAAAUGCGUAUACUUCGUGGCCCUCUAUUUGCAGUUCUAAGUAUUCAAUCUAAGGAAAUAAAAGAUAUGUACAGAUAUGUUCAGUGCUCUUUAUUUAUUUGAAACAGAGUCUCACUCUGUUGCCCAGGCUGGAGAACAGUGGUGCGAUCAUGGUUCACUGAAGCCUUGACCUCCCAGGCUCAUAUGAUCCUCCCACCUCAGCCUCCUGAAUAGGUGGGACCACAGGCAUUCUCUACCACUCUCGGCUAAUUGUUUUAUUUUUUGUAGAGACAGGGUCUCCUUAUGUUGCCCAGGCUGGUCUUACUCUUGGGAUCAUAUAAUCCUCCCACCUCAGCCUCCCAAAGUGUUGGGAUUACAAGCACAGGCCACCACACCUGGACUCACUCGGUACUAUUCCUGAUAGCUAAAAAAAAAAAAAAAAAAAAAAAAAAGAGGAAACAAUCAAAUUUUCAACAAGGCAGUAGAAUACAGUACAUGGUUAGAAGAUAAUACUUAUCAGGCACUAAAAAUGUCGAAAAGUAUUUAUUGGCAUGAUCAAAUGAUCAUGACAUUAGUAAGUGUAAAAGAAAACAUAAUACAUAAAAUAUAAGUAUAUUCCUAUUCUUUUAAAUACCUACCUGUCUACAUACACAGAUACAUGCAUACACAUAUUUAGAGAGAGGGAGGGAAGGAGAGAGAGAGGUAUCUGGCUUGAGCAGCUAGGGAAGUAGUGUGACCAUUAGCUAGGACAAAGAAUUUAGGAGAAAUUAGCAGUGUCGGUGCAGAAAAUACAGAGUUCCUGUUAGGUUUAACCUGUGAAAUAUCCUGGGGAUAUGCCACAAGCGUGGCUGCACACAUAGGUCUGAAGCUCAAGAGAGAGAUUUCAGCUAUAGACAUCAGGAGCCAUCAGCCUUUAGAGGUUGCUUAAAACUUAGGAGUAGAUGAUACUACCCUGAAAAGGAGUAAAGAAGAGAGGGCAGCCGAAGACAGACCGCCUCCCCCCAUCCUCAGCAAUUAAACAAUACUAUUUACAGGGUGGGCAAAAGGAGUAGAGCCUGCAAAGAAUAGUCUCUAAAUUGCUAGCAAUCUAUAGUUCUACUACCCCAGCCGAGUACUGGAAACAUGUAACCUUGUUUCCACUUUAUUGAUAAAAUGCACAGGAGCUCUCCUCCAUCACCUUUCCUCACUCAAGGGUCUGUGUAUAAUUCUGACUCAUGCCUUUAACCCUUCUGCCUAAUUCAGAGGCGACUUCUCACCUCCUUGUAAAGGCCAACCAAUUCCUUGAAUCCGCUAACUUCUCAAUUGUCUCCCUCUGAUGGUGUACUCUGAGAUGUUCUCUUUAUCAAACAUUUUCAGCAUCCCCUGUGCCACUAGCUUUGUUUCCUUUACUUACAAAUACGCCAGGAUUUUCUCGAUCCUGAGAACUCUAACUGGCAUGAUUGUCUCCAAUAUUUCCUGCUGUUUCCUCCCUAUAGUGCCAAACUUCUCCAAUGCAUGGUCUACACUCACUCCACAGCCCUCUUCCUUAUAAACCACGGCAAUGUCAAGCAACUCCCUAAACUGAAACUGCCCCCUCAAAAGUUACUGGUAAUCUCCUUAUCUUAAAAUCCAGUGGGUUUCAUUUGGCCAUCACAGUCUUUGAUCCUUCUGCAAAUUUGAUGACGCUGACCAUCUUUCUUUCUUGAAAACUCUUUCCAUUUUGGUUCAAUUAACACUUACCGGUUCCCCUUUGGUUCAAUAAACAUUGACUGAACACCUCUUAGGUGCUAAAAUAAAAAAGAUACAAUACUUGAUAUCGGAGUGUGAGAAGUUUUAACCUAGUUGGGAAGUGUCAAUGAAUUUCACAACAGAGAUCUUUGCCCUGUUGAGAAAGGCUGAAGUGGUAGAUGCAAACUCUGUGAGUUGAGGAGUUCAGCCAACUUACAAUGGGAAGAGAGGGAGAGGAAAUAGCAAACGUAAUUGAUAUUGUCAAGAAAUUUACUGGAGAAGAGAAAAAGAAAACUUUCUAGAAAAUGCCUAUAAGUGGCUAUAGGACAAUGGAGCAGUGUUUUCAGAAUGUGGAGAGGCUUCAGCAUGUUCUUAGAAUGAAGAGAAGUGCAAGUAGACAAGAAGAAGUUGAAAACAGAGGAGAGAGAGAAGAUAAUGGAUGGGGCAAAGUCCUGGAAGUACCAGGAAGUGUUGGGAUGCAUAUCACAGAGCUGCUAUGAACAGAGGGAGGGCGCUCUUCCACUACAUCGUACUGAAGCAUGUAUGAUUUGAGGGUGAAAAAGAGUUCCUCCUUUGGUACUAUACUGGAGAGGUUAUAGAUAGGUGGCCCAAAUACUUGGCCUAAAGAUGUGGUUUUUUUUUUUGAUCUGCAAAGAAUUUUAAAGUAAUUGGAACUUGUUGCUAACACUUACAGAUCAUGAGAUUUCAAAUAAAAAUCUGUAUUACCAGCUUCUUAAAAACUAGAUGAGUAGGAUCUUAAGAAGGGGAUGGGCACGUUCUUCCUUAUAGCUAUCGUUGCACGUAUGUAUCUUUACUAUAUGAGGGAAUAGACUUAUGCAAAUGAAGGGAUUUGUCCAAGAUGACACUGUUAAUUAAAGACAAGGUUAGGUCUAGAAAUCAGGUCUCCUAACUCCAACUCCAGUGCUCUUUCCCUUAUAUCUCAGUGUGACAUAUCACCCCUUAUCUCUCUUGAGCACUAUCCCAUAUUGUUAAUUGCCUGUUAGGCAUUUCUUCCAGUUAGGGUGGAUCAAAAAUCCUGUGGCCACAUACAACACACAACAAUAUACAUAACCAUAACAACAUACUUCAUAUCUAUUUUGGCAAUAAGUCCUGUUAACUUGUCCUUCCAAAUGUUUUUUGGGGGUGAGAUGCAGUGGCUCACGCCUGUAAUCCCAACACUUUGGGAGGUUGAGGAGGGAGGAUCACUUGAAACCAAGAGUCCAAGACCAGCCUGGGGAACAUGACAAGACUCUGUUCUACAAAAUUUAAAAAUUAGCCAGAUACAGUGGUGUGCACCUGUAGUCUCAACUACUUGGGAGGCUGAGACGGGAAGAUCGCUCGAGCCCAGGAGUUCAAGGCUGCAGUGAGCUAUGAUCAUGCUCGCUGCACUCCAGCCUAGGUGACAAAGUGAGACUCUGUCUCAAAAAAAAAAAAGUCUUUUUAAUCUAGGCCUUUCUUUGGCAACCACUUCUACGACCCUAGUGGAAGUGGACAAACUUAUUAUCUUAAUACGGUUUUGCCUUCAGCCUCUGAAAGACUCAUAGAGCCUUAUAGUUGAAAAGAACCUCAGAGGUUAUCUAUAUCCAAACUUCAGCUGAAGACAGAAUUGUUUCUAUAUUACUUCUGAUCCUGACAAUGGUCAGCCAGCUGCUGUGCAGGGCACUCCCUACCUUCAGAGGCAGCUCAUUUCACUAGCAGACACCAGGGUAAUUACAAAGUUCUGUCACUCACCUAUGAAACAUGUUUACUAACAUGCCAGACACAGUGCUUGGGACACUGGAUAUAUAGCUGCACAGGGUCCCCAUUGGCCUUAAGUAACUUUCAGUUACUUGAGUCUCUUCAUCUCUAACAUGGAGAUUAUUGAAGCCUUCUUGUGAGAAUCACCUGGUAUAAAGUGUGUAGAAAUGCUCUUUAACUAAGGGCAAUACAUGUAAGGCUUUCCCCUCCAGCUCCCUCCUCUUUUUUUUUUUUUUUUUUUUUUUUUUGAUUGAAGACUGGGUCUUGCUCUGUCCCCCAGGCUGGAGUGUAGUGGUGUGAUCUCGGCUCACUACAGCCUAGACCUCCUGGGCUCGAGCAAUCCUCCCACCUCAGCCUCCCAAGUAGCUGGGACUACAGGUGCACGCCACUGUGCCCGGCUAAUUUUUGUAUCUUUAGUAGAGAUGGGGUUUCACCAUGUUGCCCAGGCUGGUCUCGAACUCCUGGACUCAAGUGAUCCACCCGCCUCAGCCUCCCAAAGGCAAGGGAUUACCGGCAUUAGCCACCACGCCCGGCCAGCUUUCCCUCUCUUCAACUAUGUAAUGUACUGGGGUGGGAGGCUGUGAUUCCAUUAUCAUCUUUUAAAUUACAUUUUAUACAUACAAAAGAAUAAUUAUAAUGUAUACAUGUGUUAUAUACUUAAUUAGGUUAAUACCCAUAAACCUACCUUUUAUCCCAAAAACUGCACCAUUACCAAUGGCAUCCACCUGUGUGUUUUUUCUCCUCCCAUCCCCAAUCUCUCUACGGUAACUAUUAAUACAUUUUGUGCUUAUCAUUCCUUGCUUUUCCCAAAGUUUUAUCAUAUAUGUAAACACAAUAUUGCUUAAUUUUGCUUGUUUUGGAACUCCUGGGCUCAGGUGAUCUUCCCGCCCUGGCCUCACAGAGUGCUGGGAUUACAGGCGUGAGCCACUGAGCCUGGCCUGUUCCUAAGAUUGAUCCACUCCGAUUAUGUACUUUGUACCUAUUUUCCAAGCCUCAUCUUCUUCACGCAGCCUUCAGAUCACAGGAGCACAAAGUGAU